UUCUGUAAUGUGGGUGUGCAGACCCAAGCCUCCUGACUCCAGCCAAUCAGGGAUGCUAAUGACUGAGGCUGUGUAUGGUUUAUUCAGCUAUAUUUAGAAAACCCACUGGACUUACCAGGAAAUCCAGUUGUUUCAGAAGAGAGCUAUCAAGUCAUGGUUCAAAAAAUAGUUUUGAACCACUGGAAAGACCAGUUUAAAUGAAGGAUUACAGAUGGAAGGAGGAACGGAAGAAAGGAAGGAGGAAUGGAAGAAAGAAAGAAACCACCACAAAUAACUACAGCAAAACCAGACCACAGACAAU
Molecule: long non-coding RNA, 301 nt
Filed under: Columba livia (rock pigeon)
Lineage: Eukaryota; Metazoa; Chordata; Aves; Columbiformes; Columbidae
Description: partial uncharacterized LOC102085403
Source: RNAcentral